Non-coding RNA from Picea glauca (white spruce), 121 nucleotides. Lineage: Eukaryota; Viridiplantae; Streptophyta; Pinopsida; Pinales; Pinaceae. The record is from Rfam.
ACAUGCCUACAACAUAGUGUUAAUGCACUAGAUCCCAUUCAAACUCCACAGUUAAGCAUGUUGGGGCUAGAGUAGUACUGGGAUGGGUGACCACCCGAGAAGUCCUACUGUUUUACAUGUC